This 267-nucleotide ribosomal RNA is filed under the name Streptomyces melanogenes. Its description in RNAcentral is "partial 16S ribosomal RNA". It matches the Rfam family "Bacterial small subunit ribosomal RNA", at positions 557 to 824 of the family's 1533-position model. Lineage: Bacteria; Bacillati; Actinomycetota; Actinomycetes; Kitasatosporales; Streptomycetaceae. The record is from RNAcentral.
GGCGUAAGAGCUCGUAGGCGGCUUGUCACGUCGGAUGUGAAAGCCCGGGGCUUAACCCCGGGUCUGCAUUCGAUACGGGCUAGCUAGAGUGUGGUAGGGGAGAUCGGAAUUCCUGGUGUAGCGGUGAAAUGCGCAGAUAUCAGGAGGAACACCGGUGGCGAAGGCGGAUCUCUGGGCCAUUACUGACGCUGAGGAGCGAAAGCGUGGGGAGCGAACGGGAUUAGAUACCCUGGUAGUCCACGCCGUAAACGUUGGGAACUAGGUGUU